Molecule: transfer RNA, 62 nt
Filed under: Cacopsylla picta
Lineage: Eukaryota; Metazoa; Arthropoda; Insecta; Hemiptera; Psyllidae
Description: tRNA-Trp
Source: RNAcentral
AAAGUCUUAAGUUAAGUAAACUAUUAGCCUUCAAAGUUGAAAAUGGAAAGUUUCAGACUUUG